UCGCCCUGUUUUUCAAAAACAUAGCCCAAAGAUUUAUUUUGGGUAAAUUCUGCCCAGCGUAAUUUAUUAGCGGCCGCAGUACUUUGACUGUGCUAAGGUAGCAUAAUCAAUUGGCUUUUAAUUGUAGUCUGGAAUGAAAGGACUAAUAGGGGUUAGCUGUCUCUAUACUAUUAUUUUGAAUUUAUUUAUUAAGUGAAAAUACUUAUACAAAGAAAAAAGACGAGAAGACCCUUAGAAUUUUAAUAAAAUAUUUAAUAAUUUUUUUUUGUUGGGGCGACAUUGAAACAAUUAAACUUUCAUUAACAAUCAAGACAUUUAGGUUUGAAAGAAUAAAUUACCUUAGGGAUAACAGCAUAAUUAAUUAUUUAGUUUGUGACCUCGAUGUUGGACUAGGAACUAGAAGAUUAACCGUCUAAAUAGAUGUCGUCGA
This 430-nucleotide ribosomal RNA is filed under the name Pseudosuccinea columella. Its description in RNAcentral is "partial 16S ribosomal RNA". It matches the Rfam family "Bacterial large subunit ribosomal RNA", at positions 1795 to 2622 of the family's 2925-position model. Lineage: Eukaryota; Metazoa; Mollusca; Gastropoda; Lymnaeidae. The record is from RNAcentral.